AAUGGGGGCAACCCUGACGCAGCAAUGCCGCGUGAGUGAAGAAGGCCUUCGGGUCGUAAAGCUCUUUUAUGGGGGAAGAAAAUGACUGUACCCGAAUAAGAAGGUCCGGCUAACUUCGUGCCAGCAGCCGCGGUAAUACGAAGGGACCUAGCGUAGUUCGGAAUUACUGGGCUUAAAGAGUUCGUAGGUGGUUAAAAAAGUUGGUGGUGAAAUCCCAGAGCUUAACUCUGGAACUGCCAUCAAAACUUUUUAGCUAGAGUAUGAUAGAGGAAAGCAGAAUUUCUAGUGUAGAGGUGAAAUUCGUAGAUAUUAGAAAGAAUACCAAUUGCGAAGGCAGCUUUCUGGAUCAUUACUGACGCUGAGGAACGAAAGCAUGGGUAGCGAAGAGGAUU
RNAcentral lists this ribosomal RNA (392 nucleotides) under uncultured Gammaproteobacteria bacterium. RNAcentral describes it as "bacterial SSU rRNA". It matches the Rfam family "Bacterial small subunit ribosomal RNA", at positions 370 to 779 of the family's 1533-position model. Lineage: Bacteria; Pseudomonadati; Pseudomonadota; Gammaproteobacteria. The record is from RNAcentral.